Molecule: ribosomal RNA, 1173 nt
Filed under: Clostridioides difficile
Lineage: Bacteria; Bacillati; Bacillota; Clostridia; Peptostreptococcales; Peptostreptococcaceae
Description: partial 23S ribosomal RNA
Rfam family: Bacterial large subunit ribosomal RNA
Source: RNAcentral
UUUAACUGAGCGUUCAGUUACUUGACGUAGACCCGAAACCGGGCGACCUACCCAUGAGCAGGAUGAAGCGAAAGUAAAAUUUCGUGGAGGUCCGAACCCACGAGCGUUGAAAAGCUCGGGGAUGACUUGUGGGUAGCGGUGAAAUUCCAAUCGAGCCCGGAGAUAGCUGGUUCUCCCCGAAAUAGCUUUAGGGCUAGCCUCAAGGUGAGAGAUACGGAGGUAGAGCACUGAAUGUCCUAGGGGGUAUUGCACCUACCGAAGACUAUCAAACUCCGAAUGCCGUCAUCUUAUACUUGGGAGUCAGACUGUGGGUGAUAAGAUUCAUAGUCGAAAGGGCAACAGCCCAGAUCGUCAGCUAAGGUCCCUAAAUGUAAGUUAAGUGGUAAAGGAUGUGGGAUUGCACAGACAACCAGGAUGUUGGCUUAGAAGCAGCCACUCAUUCAAAGAGUGCGUAAUAGCUCACUGGUCGAGUGAUCCUGCGCCGAAGAUUUCCGGGGCUAAAACUUACUACCGAAGCUACGGCAUCAGUAAUGAUGGGUAGGGGAGCUUCCCAUACGGGUUGAAGCAUGACCGUAAGGACAUGUGGACAGUAUGGGAGUGAGAAUGUUGGCAUGAGUAGCGAGAUGUGGGUGAGAAUCCCACAGGCCGUAAACCCAAGGUUUCCAGGGGAAGGUUCGUCCGCCCUGGGUUAGUCGGGACCUAAGCUGAGGCCGAAAGGCGUAGGUGAUGGACAACAGGUUGAUAUUCCUGUACUACCGAUAACCGUUUGAGAGAAGGGAUGACACAGUAGGAUAAGCUAAGCACACUGUUGGUUAUGUGUGCCCAAGCAUUGAGGCAGUCAAAGUAGGCAAAUCCGCUUUGAUAAUGCUGGGAUGUGAUGGGGAGCGAAAUUUAGUAGCGAAGUAGCUGAUUUCACACUGUCAAGAAAAGUCUCUAUCGAGGUUAAAGGUACCCGUACCGCAAACCGACACAGGUGGGUGAGGAGAGUAUCCUAAGGCCAGCGAGAGAACUGUUGUUAAGGAACUCGGCAAAAUGACCCCGUAACUUAGGGAUAAGGGGUGCCACCAUCAGGUGGCCGCAGAGAAUAGGCCCAAGCGACUGUUUACCAAAAACAUAGGUUUCUGCUAAGUCGCAAGACGAUGUAUAGGAGCUGACGCCUGCCCGGUGCUGGAA